Dendronephthya gigantea is the source of this 568-nucleotide long non-coding RNA. RefSeq lists it as uncharacterized. The record is from RefSeq and is a predicted model, not a curated record. The transcript has 4 exons. Lineage: Eukaryota; Metazoa; Cnidaria; Anthozoa; Malacalcyonacea; Nephtheidae.
AGCAGACACACGUGUUCGCACCUUUGCACGCUCUUUUCAACUCAACGACGAUUGAGACGUUUGUCCAAAGGAAGCUUCCGAAGUCGAAAAAGCACAAAAUCAUUGGCUGACUAAAGAUUCUCUGUUAUCGAAUAUUCGAAUCUUUAUUAGAAAUUAAGCAAGAAUGAUUUUUCGUCUGAACGUUUGUCUGUUGUUGAUCUUUGUGACAGGCGUUGCUGUUGGUGCUCGUCAUGAACAAGAUACGCACGCCUCGCAAGAGGCAGUGUUGAAUCUGUGUCUUGUGAACGAUGGAACUUGUGUGUCACCACAUGUCUUCUGUGCUGAACAUUUGGAGGAAUUUGAUGAAUAUUGUCCGGGUGAUGAAAAAUGCUGCCAAUAAAUCGACGGUUAAGUUGGAAAAGGCAAGGCAUUUUCGGUGAAUUUGUGUUACGCAUUGGCUGACCUCCAUCAGCUAUUGAUCGUUGACUUCAGAACUGACUUUAUCAAUUUAUGGUAGUGAAGUGUGGCUAUUGAAUAUUAUCAUCUACUAUAUAUACUCACUCUAUGCUUUUUAUUUUUUAGCCGCUAU